AAGGAGAAGUCGUAACAAGGUUUCCGUAGGUGAACCUGCGGAAGGAUCAUUGUCGAACCUGCAUUAUGCAAAAAACAACCAAAGGCGCGGGAUGCGCCAAGGAAAAUCGAAACGAAUCUGACUCCUGCCUCGGUGCAUUGCAUCGUGUCGGCGAGUGUAUUCGAUAAGUCAUAACGACUCUCGGCAACGGAUAUCUCGGCUCUCGCAUCGAUGAAGAACGUAGCAAAAUGCGAUACGUGGUGUGAAUUGCAGGAUCCCGUGAACCAUCGAGUUUUUGAACGCAAGUUGCGCCCGAAGCCUUUAGGCCGAGGGCACGUCUGCCUGGGCGUCACGCACCGUUGCCCCCCAAACCCCCUCAGUCCUCCACGGAGGAUUGGCGAGGCGCGUGGGGGGCGUAAAGUGGCUUCCCGUCGGCUUUGUCCCGCGGUUGGCCUAAAAAUGAAUCCCUAGCCGCGGUGCGCGCGGCAUUCGGUGGUCAUCGAUCCCUUUCGUUACCCCGCCGCGCGCUCACGUGCCGCGAAGGAUGUCACACUAGUAAACCCGACGCCUCGCUUUGUGAAGAGCGGAGCUUACAACGCGACCCCAGGUCAGGCGGGGCUACCCGCUGAA
Molecule: ribosomal RNA, 609 nt
Filed under: embryophyte environmental sample
Lineage: Eukaryota; Viridiplantae; Streptophyta
Description: eukaryotic LSU rRNA
Rfam family: 5.8S ribosomal RNA (bases 176-331)
Source: RNAcentral